This 468-nucleotide ribosomal RNA is filed under the name uncultured bacterium. RNAcentral's name for it is "partial 16S ribosomal RNA". It matches the Rfam family "Bacterial small subunit ribosomal RNA", at positions 28 to 507 of the family's 1533-position model. The record is from RNAcentral.
GACGAACGCUGGCGGCGUGCUUAACACAUGCAAGUCGAACGGAAAGGCCCUGAUCUUGCGGGGUGCACGAGUGGCGAACGGGUGAGUAACACGUGAGUAACAUGUCCCUGACUUUGGGAUAACUCUAGGAAACUGGGGCUAUUAUCGGAUAUGAGCUCCUGCUGCACGGUGGGGGUUGGAAAGUUUCGGCGGUUGGGGAUGGACUCGCGGCUUAUCAGCUUGUUGGUGGGGUAGUUGCUUACCAAGGCUUUGACGGAUAGCCGGCAUGAGAGGGGGGACGGGCACAUGGGGACUAAGGGACGGCGCAGUCUGGUACGGGAGGCAGCGGGGGGGAGUAUUGCGCAGUGGGCGGGAGCCUGAGGCGACGGCGCCGGGUGCGGGAUGACGGCCUUCGGGUGAUGAACCGCUGUCUCCUGUGACGAGGCGUGAGUGACGGUAAUGGGUAAAGAAGCACCGGCUAACUACGUG